Molecule: long non-coding RNA, 2811 nt
Organism: Sarcophilus harrisii (Tasmanian devil)
Lineage: Eukaryota; Metazoa; Chordata; Mammalia; Dasyuromorphia; Dasyuridae
Source: Ensembl
AUGCGCGCCGGGAGGUGCCUGGGCGUCCCCAGCGCGGGCGGGCCCGUGCCCAGGAUGCUCGGAAGCAGGCAUAAGGGCAGGCACGCGCGGGGGCCCCCCCAGGCGCGGCGGAGCACGCGCGCACGCCCAGGUGAGUGCUCGCAGGUGUCUGCGCGGGGGAGGCGCCGGACCGCCCGGCCCCCGCCCGCCGGCUCGCUCCUUCUCUCCUCGCGGGCAGCCCCGCCCUGCCCGGGAGCUCGGGCCUGGCCCCGCCCCCUCCCGCGCUCCGCCCCCUCCCGCGCCCCGCCCCCUCCCGCGCUCCGCCCCUCGGGCCGAGCCUCGGCCGCCGCCGCCGCGGGGGAGGAGGAGGGGGAGGAGGGAGGCCGCCCGCCGCCCCCGCCCUCCCUGCGCGCUGCUCGGCGGCGGCCCCAUGUCCCCGGGCCCGAAGCCCCGCGGCGGGCGGCCCCCCCCGCGCGCGGCCGAGGUGGGGCGCCUCGUGUCCCCGCCCCGCGCCGCCGCGCUCCCCCGCGCCCGCCGGGGACAUGGUACGUUCCAGUGGCCCCGCGCUCAGCCCCGCCGGGGGGGCUUCGGCGGCGGCGGGGAGGACGCGGCGGCGGCGGCGGCGGCGGCGGCGCACGAGGGGCUGGGGCUGGGGCUGGGGCCGGCGAGCCGCGGCCGAGGGCGCAGCAGCGAGCCGAGAGCCGCACCCCCGCCGCCCCGGGCCGCGGCCACGGCCACGGCCGGCAGCAGCAGCGGCGGCGGCGGCUUCGCCCCUCGCUGGCACCCGGCGGGCCCCCCGCGGGCUGGCAUGACUCUGUUCGGCAGCGAAGAAGCGUGUCGGAGAUCAGUAACUGUGACCUGAACUAUGAGCUGUAUCGGGAAGACUUCCCCUACAGGGUGUAUGAAUAUCAGAGGAUCCCCCCACUUAUCAACCGAGCGCCUGUCAAGAGCAGACGGACUCACAUGGGAACAGGGGGCAAGAGUGGCCUCAACCCCCACAUCCCCCCACGAAGCAACAACCCACCCCCUGUCCGGACAAAGUUAAGAGCUGAGGAGCUGCACUCGAUCAAGGGGGAGCUGAGCCAGAUCAAAGCCCAGGUGGACAGUCUGCUCGAGAGUCUGGAGCGCAUGGAUCAGCGGCGAGACCGGCUGGGAGGGCCCCAAGACAGUGAGAAGAAGGUGGCCUCGGCCGGCGGGGAGUCCUCCAGUGCGGCCACGGAGGCCCAGCGGGAGCCCAGGGGCAAAGAGAGCCCGGAGGCCAGAGCUCGCAGCCGCAGGGAGGCCGACAGUGCUGAAGAGAGCACGGACACGGAGGAGGCGGUGAGGAUGAAAAACCACACAUCGGACCCUGACGGGAGCCAGUAGAAGCACUGGGGCCCUUCCUGGGUCGGCCUCCCAGCCGGUGCCACGUGAGACCUGCCCUCCAGCCUCUCCUCCAGAAGCUGGGCACAAGUCCCUGAGGUGCAGGCCUAGAGAAUGGGCCUGGGGAGGCAGGAAAAUCCAGCAGGUCUAGAAUUUCCCUUUGAAAAAACUCCACCCUCCUUUCCUCUGUGCUGUUUCCCCCACCUCAUGAAAAAGGGGUUCCCUUGGUAGUAAGGCUUGGCAGGACGGGCAUUUGGGGGAAGCAUCUGGGCCAACAAUUCCAAGUUCUUCCCAAAUUGCUCAGUGAUGAUUUUCAGUUCCCCGUCCCCACCGGGUACCCACUCAUUUCUUCUUGAAGAAACAUUCCCAGGGGUAGAAACCCCCCCAUCUCUUGGACAGUCAGUCCAUUUACAACAGUAUUGGCUCUCUUCCUGGCUCCAGCAGACACGACCCAGGUUUUGCUCUCAAUAUUAGCCAUUCGACACAGAAACCCCCAGUGUUCCUUAUGGGGCUCCCCCAGCUUUCUUUCUGCCCAGCCAGUGUUGGGGAGACAUUGGCCGCAUACCCCCUCAUCCCCGCGAUGUGAGGUGAGAUCGAUACCAUUCUGUGCUUUCUCUGGUCCCCGAGAACCCCUACCAAGCCAGGCCAAGGGCAGCCGCCUCAGCUCCUGGUGGCUCAUCAAGGUUCCCCCUUUUCCCAGCACCCCGUGGCUUCAAUGUUUUGCACUAUUAGCCUUCAUGUGACCCCUUCUUCUCCCCCGGCCCCUGCAGAAUUCCAUACCCACAGUGGUGCAUGGGAAAUGAGUUCUGUUUCCGACAGGUGCGUUUCUGCUCCGUAGAAGAUAAGUCAGGUCCUUGGUCGAUGUUGCCCCGGUUAGCCCCGUUACUUCCUUGUCCCCCCUUCCCCCAUGCUGUCCUUUCAGAACAGGUGUAGUUCAUUCUUAUGUCCAGUUUCUAGCUUGUCUUCUUGCUGGUAUGAUACUGUGUAUUUCAAAUCUGCUCUGGAAAAGUGUAUUGUGUUGAAAGGAAAAAAAAUUAAAAGUUUGUAUUUCUUUUCUCUGGUUAAAUCGAUUCUGUAUGAGUUCCUUCUCUGCUCUCCCCCAACCACGUUGCAGGCCCUGGGCCCUUCCAGGGUUCCUGGGACCGACCCUCCAGAUCAAAACACCCAGACGGCCCUAGACCUCCUGGAAAUGUCCACCCCGUGGCUUGUUGGGGGGAUGGGGAACCCCCCCUUGGGCAGCUCAGCUCUGAAUUCCUUACCCGUUUGUGUCCCAGCCACUGGCACCCAGGCCCCUUUAGGGCACCCAUCCCCAGGAUCCUCCCUCCCCGGGAGCCAGGAUCCCACCCCUGGCCUUACUCCAUGCUUGGGGUUCCAAGUAGACCAAAUAAAGCCGCCCUUGGCAGGGCCCACUUGGGUUCCGUGGCAGAGUCCCCCGUGAGUGACCCCGCGCUUUCCGGCCUUUUUAGGUCC